This 439-nucleotide ribosomal RNA is filed under the name uncultured bacterium. RNAcentral's name for it is "partial 16S ribosomal RNA". It matches the Rfam family "Bacterial small subunit ribosomal RNA", at positions 339 to 795 of the family's 1533-position model. The record is from RNAcentral.
CUACGGGAGGCUGCAGUGGGGAAUAUUGGGCAAUGGGCGAAAGCCUGACCCAGCCAUGCCGCGUGAGUGAUGAAGGCCCUAGGGUUGUAAAGCUCUUUCAAUGGUGAAGAUAAUGACGGUAACCAUAGAAGAAGCCCCGGCUAACUUCGUGCCAGCAGCCGCGGUAAUACGAAGGGGGCAAGCGUUGUUCGGAUUUACUGGGCGUAAAGCGCAUGUAGGCGGUUUGUUAAGUUAGAUGUGAAAGCCCAGGGCUCAACCCUGGAACUGCAUUUAAUACUGGCAAACUUGAGUAUAGGAGAGGAGAACGGAAUUUCCAGUGUAGAGGUGAAAUUCGUAGAUAUUGGAAAGAACACCAGUGGCGAAGGCGGUUCUCUGGCCUAAUACUGACGCUGAGAUGCGAAAGCGUGGGGAGCAAACAGGAUUAGAUACCCCGGUAGUC